This is a long non-coding RNA of Pyrus x bretschneideri (Chinese white pear), 1257 nucleotides long. RefSeq lists it as uncharacterized. Lineage: Eukaryota; Viridiplantae; Streptophyta; Magnoliopsida; Rosales; Rosaceae. The transcript is spliced from 2 exons. The record is from RefSeq and is a predicted model, not a curated record.
UGGGGUCCUAAUAUGGAUUACUUGCCUUAACCAAUAAUUGAUUCUUUUGUAAAAAAACUUUAGAAAAGAGAAUUUUGAUUAUCUUGAAAAGAUGAAGCUUUUUCUUUGGUUCAUGAUAAUUUAUGAACUUCCGUGGAUUCUAAAAUGGGAUUAUGGUUUCGUAGAAGAUGAUUAUGGUGCUUAGGAAUUUGUCCCCCAACUUGAAAGAAAUGUUUUUAUUUGCUAGUGGGAUAAUGUCCACCUUGAUCAUUUCAAGCCAACAUCUUUUAAAGCCAGAAGAAUCUUGUCUCAUAGGUAGGUUGUAGCCGAACUACCCUGCUCAACUACCGAAUCAUCUUCAAAGUCUGAAAAGCAUAAGUCUUUGAUCGAGUCCUAGCUCUUCUUGCUCCAAGAAAUAUCUUAAAGGUAAAGUUCUUAAAAUUCUUGAACUCGACAAAUUAAAUGACGAAGAAAUGGAAUCUGAAGCCGAAUCAUCCCAUCACAAUAGGGAUGAAGUUUUCAAUGAUGAAAAUGAAGAUAGCUGCUAUGGAAUUUGUCCUCCAAUCCAUCCAAAGAAGUAAAGCAUGAAAUGAUUUUUCUUUGAUUAAAGAGAAAGUGUGAAAGAAAAGAAAAGAUGUCUGAUAUCCAGACGCCAACAAUUAUUAUUUUCCUGCAUAAUUGUCCUUUGUUCUCGUAGCUAUUUGUCGAUGUGCUUCUAUUUUAAGAAUCUUUCUGUGAAACCACGUGAAGCUAAGUCAAUGCCAUUUCAUAAAGUGAAGAUGCCUCCCAAUGUUGUAGGCUGCUUUAUGUUGUUCCUCUGCCUGUGUGACGCCUGGUCCUUCAGUUUGCUUUUGAUUUUUAUUUAAAGAGCUAUCUAGCUCAAAUGUGUGUACGCUUAAGAAUUUCACUUUGCGUUUUCUUUUUCAGUGCUACUCUUGUAUCCAAACUUUGGAGUGCUUCCCUGUAACCUUGAAGAUCAAUAAAUUAAGGCGAAGGAUAUUUGGCCAAUUGUACAAUCAGGAUUUGCGAAUGAAGUACCGAAGACUUUAAGGUAACACAUUAUUUUCUAUCGUUAAUCGAUUGCUAAUUUGUUUUCCCUAAAACAUGAGAGAAUAGACAAAAUAAAACAAAAUUUUCUGUUCAGGCACCAAAAAUAUAUUCAUGCUUUGAGAUUAUGCAUUUAUAGCAUCUAGUCAGGAGACUGAGCUGGUUUAACGGGAUCAUCCACCAAGGGAAUGUCUAAUAUAUAAUUCGAAUAUGCUGUUAAAGGGAUCAUCA